RNAcentral lists this transfer RNA (91 nucleotides) under bacterium. RNAcentral's name for it is "tRNA-Ser". It matches the Rfam family "tRNA". From Rfam's summary of the family: Transfer RNA (tRNA) molecules are approximately 80 nucleotides in length. Their secondary structure includes four short double-helical elements and three loops (D, anti-codon, and T loops). Further hydrogen bonds mediate the characteristic L-shaped molecular structure. tRNAs have two regions of fundamental functional importance: the anti-codon, which is responsible for specific mRNA codon recognition, and the 3' end, to which the tRNAs corresponding amino acid is attached (by aminoacyl-tRNA synthetases). tRNAs cope with the degeneracy of the genetic code in two manners: having more than one tRNA (with a specific anti-codon) for a particular amino acid; and 'wobble' base-pairing, i.e. permitting non-standard base-pairing at the 3rd anti-codon position. The record is from RNAcentral. RNAcentral also lists the same sequence under 1 other name.
GGAGAGGUGGCCGAGUUAGGCUGAAGGCAACCGCCUGCUAAGCGGUUGAGCCCUUAAUCGGGUUCCGUGGGUUCAAAUCCCACCCUCUCCG